Molecule: ribosomal RNA, 482 nt
Filed under: uncultured bacterium
Lineage: Bacteria
Description: bacterial SSU rRNA
Rfam family: Bacterial small subunit ribosomal RNA
Source: RNAcentral
UUGAACGCUGGCGGAAUGCUUUACACAUGCAAGUCGAGCGGCAGCGCGGGGGCAACCCUGGCGGCGAGCGGCGAACGGGUGAGUAACAUAUCGGAACGUACCCUAUCGUGGGGGAUAACACAUCGAAAGAUGUGCUAAUACCGCAUACGACCUGAGGGUGAAAGCAGGGGAUCGCACGACCUUGCGCGACCGGAGCGGCCGCUAUCGGAUUAGCUAGUUGGUGAGGUAAAGGCUCACCAAGGCGACGAUCCGUAGCUGGUCUGGGAGGACGACCAGCCACACUGGAACGGAGACACGGGCCAGACUCCUACGGGAGGCAGCAGUGGGGAAUUUUGGACAAUGGGGGAAACCCUGAUCCAGCCAGGCCGCGUGAGUGAAGAAGGCCUUCGGGUUGUAAAACUCUUUCGGCAGGAACGAAACGGUGAGCUCUAACAUAGCGUGCUAAUGACGGUACCUGAAGAAGAAGCACCGGCUAACUACGU